This 472-nucleotide ribosomal RNA is filed under the name Yarrowia lipolytica. RNAcentral describes it as "LSU rRNA". It matches the Rfam family "Eukaryotic large subunit ribosomal RNA", at positions 93 to 528 of the family's 3401-position model. The record is from RNAcentral. Lineage: Eukaryota; Fungi; Ascomycota; Dipodascomycetes; Dipodascales.
GUGAAGCGUAAAGCUCAAAUUUGAAACCCUCGGGAUUGUAAUUUGAAGAUUUGGCAUUGGAGAAAGCUAACCCAAGUUGCUUGGAAUAGUACGUCAUAGAGGGUGACAACCCCGUCUGGCUAACCGUUCUCCAUGUAUUGCCUUAUCAAAGAGUCGAGUUGUUUGGGAAUGCAGCUCAAAGUGGGUGGUAAACUCCAUCUAAAGCUAAAUACUGGUGAGAGACCGAUAGCGAACAAGUACUGUGAAGGAAAGGUGAAAAGAACUUUGAAAAGAGAGUGAAAUAGUAUGUGAAAUUGUUGAUAGGGAAGGAAAUGAGUGGAGAGUGGCCGAGGUUUCAGCCGCCCCUCGUGGGCGGUGUACUGCCGACGCCGAGUCAUCGAUAGCGAGACGAGGGUUACAAAUGGGAGCGCCUUUCGGGCGUUCUCCCCUAACCCUCCACACUGCCACCGACAGACAAAUCCACCAUUUACUG